This is a long non-coding RNA of Daphnia pulicaria, 1642 nucleotides long. RefSeq lists it as uncharacterized. The transcript is spliced from 7 exons. The record is from RefSeq and is a predicted model, not a curated record. Lineage: Eukaryota; Metazoa; Arthropoda; Branchiopoda; Diplostraca; Daphniidae.
CGCAGUCCGCGGUUGCAAAGGCUGUCACUAGGUGGCUAAAUAUUCCAGUGUGUUUAGGGAUUAAGGUGUUUAGGGAUGUAGGGGGUUUGUUUUUGUUUUCAAAGUGCUGGUUACUUUCUUUCCUGACAUUUUCUGCUAUUCUUCUACAAGGUUAUUUAAAAAUGAAAUUUUGUGUUUGGUGAAUUUACAGGUAACGUGUACUGGAAUUUAUACUUGGCAAUUCCGUUUGAUCAUAUGGCCUGCCGUUCAAUUUCCCAAAAUGUCGUCUCUUGCUUUUGCUGUAUUAUGCACGUUUCGUCACUAGAUGAGAUGUUUCCACGCCAUUCGACCAAGCUGAACCGAUAGUGAACCAUUUAAAACGACAUGUCAAAGAUCUUCCCUUUCACUACGUGUUCACUGCCUUUGCAUGAAGUUGCGUCUUUGAGAGGGUCUCUACUAUGGCAAAUGUGAUGAAAAGAGGAAAUCUGAAUAGGUAAUCAAGUACUUGUAAACUAAAUAAAGAGGUGGCUUUGUUGCAGCCAGCUGGUGAAAGGGAGUUCAAGUCAAGUUGAGCUGCAGCUUCUGGAAGCAGUCUACAGCGCUGAUGUCAUCCUGAAGUGGAGAAGUGUUACCUGAAGUGUAACUACAAAAAAUACAUCUUGAAAUGGACGUGGUGAUAAUGUGAUGCAUCAGCAUGCAGUCUAUGCAGGUGGUGUUUUCGAGAAGUGUAUAAGCAAGACUUUGAAGCUUAGUCUGAAGAAUAUUUUCUGAAAUGUCAAAAGUCAACUCUAAACUGACGCAGGAAUUAAGUGACAGAGCCCACAACUCUUCCCGUCUUUCGUGUUGAUUCCGUUGUCCAUAAUAAUGAUGGAUUACUCACGUUAUGUGCCUGGCAUGUAUAUCAUUCGCUUUCCCCUCCCUGGCCGUGAACUUGGGGAAUUAGGAAGCCAUGGUUGUAGUGCGUGUUUGAUCCAGCGUGACUUUCAUCACCUUCACACAAUUCCAUGGCGUCACGUGAAGAAACGAGAAUCAAUAACGAUUCCGGUCUGUUGACGAUAUCGAGAAGUCUUGGUUUCCAUUCAGCCACACAAGAUAUUGCAUAUAUUGAAUCGGGAUCGUUAAAAACAUCACGUGUCGUUGCACCUUAACGACGAUGGGCGUAUUUGGUUGCGCCACGUUGACUUUAAAAGAGGAAGGAAGAGAGUGAGAGCGCGGGGGGGUUUCCGACCUCCAGAGGCGAGAGAGAAAAACGUCGAAAUCUUCUUCUUCUUCUUUUUGUAAAAGACUUUGGCAGCAACCUCCUCCUCCUGUAACACAAGACUCUUGUAUACUACUCACAUAUUCAGCAGCCUCUUACGUGUUCUUUGUUUGCCCGGCACUUAUCCAGGUAGUCACCAUAGAGGAUAGGUUAGAAAAGCCUACGACUCUAGUCUGCACGUGUUCAGUUGCCGGCCGAGUGUCGAGACUUGCACAACGAUCUCAGCAAACUACUUGGAAGAGACCAGGUGAUGAGAAUAUGAUGGCCAACUUGUUGAUGUUCCUCACCGCUGCGUUCCUGAUUUCGUCCGGAAGCAUUCAUUCAGCUUCUGCCAAGAACAGAAGGACGUCAAUGGCAGGAGAGUUGGCGUUUUGUAAGAAACACUUCAGAACAAAUCAGGCAACU